Long non-coding RNA from Solanum dulcamara, 748 nucleotides. RefSeq lists it as uncharacterized. The record is from RefSeq and is a predicted model, not a curated record. The transcript has 2 exons. Lineage: Eukaryota; Viridiplantae; Streptophyta; Magnoliopsida; Solanales; Solanaceae.
GGCCUUAGCCCAAUAGAUCAGAAAAAAUAGGUUCUGACUCUUGGAAAUUAGGUAACCCUAAUACCAAAAGUACUUUGAUACAGGAUGAGGCUGUGGAAUAAUAGCUUGCUGAAAAUCUGUUAGACAAAUUGUUCACUGAAGAAAAGUGGAGAUCGGAGCCAAAGCAAUGAAAAAGAGCCAUUGGCAAAAUCAAUGCUCUCCAUGUCUCUGCAAACUUGGUCAUCUCAAGAAUAGGAUGCUGGUUUGAUCAUCGUCAAUUUCUAAAUCACUGGCCAUCUAUUUGGCUUUCUUUAAGUAGCUGGACAAGAACAAAAUACCAAGAAGGCCGUCAAAACAGAGAUGUUUAUUGUGCCUGUUACUUCUCUUAGCACUCUUAUCACCAAUGGCGAAGUGUUGCCCUUUGUCCCCAAUAAAAACAGAAGAUCCAAGUUUAUUUUCCAUAUGCUUCACUCUUCAAGUUCUCUUUGCACUCUUGCAUCUGCAGUUUUUCACCUUAAAGCUGACUGAACUUCUUGAACAUUUUCCUUAAUCAUAUGCAAAUUAAGUUUCUAAUGUUGACUCAAGUGUCAAGCAAUUGAAGGGAACGUUCAAAUGCUUCUUCCACUCCUUGUUUCUGAUGGUAUUUAAAAAUGAACAUGAAUCAUUUAUAGCUAGAUUGUAUUCUUAUAAUGCUUUCCAAAAUCAUUUACUCGUUUAUAUUUGGAUACUUCAUUGUAAUUUUAUUUAUCUGAAAAAUGAUUUAUAUUUA